RNAcentral lists this long non-coding RNA (214 nucleotides) under Acyrthosiphon pisum (pea aphid). RNAcentral describes it as "uncharacterized LOC103311302". Lineage: Eukaryota; Metazoa; Arthropoda; Insecta; Hemiptera; Aphididae. The record is from RNAcentral.
UAAAUAGUCAGCAUACAUUGAUUAUAGACAGUGUUAAAUCUCAACAUUAUCUAUUAGACUUGAUGCAUCGUCGCUUCACACCGUUACUUAACCGCUACAAGACUAUAUAACAAGUAAAUACAAUGUCUUCAUACACCAUUGUAACUGAUGAAGGCUCAUCAAACGAAGAUCAGGAAAGUUCAUAUUCAGUAAAACCAGUUACACCAAAAACGAG